This 1110-nucleotide ribosomal RNA is filed under the name uncultured cyanobacterium. Its description in RNAcentral is "bacterial SSU rRNA". It matches the Rfam family "Bacterial small subunit ribosomal RNA", at positions 389 to 1514 of the family's 1533-position model. The record is from RNAcentral. Lineage: Bacteria; Bacillati; Cyanobacteriota.
GAGCAACGCCGCGUGAGGGAUGAAGGCCUCUGGGCUGUAAACCUCUUUUCUCAAGGAAGAAGAUCUGACGGUACUUGAGGAAUAAGCCACGGCUAAUUCCGUGCCAGCAGCCGCGGUAAUACGGGAGUAGCAAGCGUUAUCCGGAAUCAUUGGGCGUAAAGCGUCCGCAGGUGGCUUUGUAAGUCUGCCGUUAAAGCGUGGAGCUUAACUCCAUUUCAGCGGUGGAAACUACAAAGCUUGAGUGUGGUAGGGGCAGAGGGAAUUCCCGGUGUAGCGGUGAAAUGCGUAGAUAUCGGGAAGAACACCAGUGGCGAAGGCGCUCUGCUGGGCCAUAACUGACACUCAUGGACGAAAGCCAGGGGAGCGAAAGGGAUUAGAUACCCCUGUAGUCCUGGCCGUAAACGAUGAACACUAGGCGUCGGGGGAAUCGACCCCCUCGGUGUCGUAGCCAACGCGUUAAGUGUUCCGCCUGGGGAGUACGCACGCAAGUGUGAAACUCAAAGGAAUUGACGGGGGCCCGCACAAGCGGUGGAGUAUGUGGUUUAAUUCGAUGCAACGCGAAGAACCUUACCAGGGUUUGACAUCCUGCGAACCCCUGAGAAAUCGGGGGGUGCCUUCGGGAACGCAGUGACAGGUGGUGCAUGGCUGUCGUCAGCUCGUGUCGUGAGAUGUUGGGUUAAGUCCCGCAACGAGCGCAACCCACGUCUUUAGUUGCCAGCAUUCAGUUGGGCACUCUAGAGAGACCGCCGGUGAUAAACCGGAGGAAGGUGUGGAUGACGUCAAGUCAUCAUGCCCCUUACAUCCUGGGCUACACACGUACUACAAUGCUACGGACAAAGGGCAGCGAACUCGCGAGGGCAAGCAAAUCCCAUAAACCGUGGCUCAGUUCAGAUCGUAGGCUGCAACUCGCCUACGUGAAGGAGGAAUCGCUAGUAAUCGCAGGUCAGCAUACUGCGGUGAAUACGUUCCCGGGCCUUGUACACACCGCCCGUCACACCAUGGAAGUUAGCCACGCCCGAAGUCGUUACUCCAACCCUUGUGGAGGAGGAUGCCGAAGGUGGGGCUGAUGACUGGGGUGAAGUCGUAACAAGGUAGCCGUACCGGAAGGUG